UCUGACGACCAUAGCGUCUUGGAACCACCCCUUCCCAUCCCGAACAGGACCGUGAAACAAGACCGCGCCGAUGAUAGUGCCCACACGGGUGUGAAAGUAGGUCAUCGUCAGAC
Molecule: ribosomal RNA, 113 nt
Filed under: Zoogloeaceae bacterium
Lineage: Bacteria; Pseudomonadati; Pseudomonadota; Betaproteobacteria; Rhodocyclales; Zoogloeaceae
Source: RNAcentral